AAAGACUUAGGAUAACAAGACCAAGAGCCUUCAAAGCUUUAAGUAGAAGUGAGAACCUUCUAGUCUUUG
This 69-nucleotide transfer RNA is filed under the name Enteromius pobeguini. RNAcentral describes it as "tRNA-Trp". It matches the Rfam family "tRNA". Rfam says of the family: Transfer RNA (tRNA) molecules are approximately 80 nucleotides in length. Their secondary structure includes four short double-helical elements and three loops (D, anti-codon, and T loops). Further hydrogen bonds mediate the characteristic L-shaped molecular structure. tRNAs have two regions of fundamental functional importance: the anti-codon, which is responsible for specific mRNA codon recognition, and the 3' end, to which the tRNAs corresponding amino acid is attached (by aminoacyl-tRNA synthetases). tRNAs cope with the degeneracy of the genetic code in two manners: having more than one tRNA (with a specific anti-codon) for a particular amino acid; and 'wobble' base-pairing, i.e. permitting non-standard base-pairing at the 3rd anti-codon position. Lineage: Eukaryota; Metazoa; Chordata; Actinopteri; Cypriniformes; Cyprinidae. The record is from RNAcentral.